Molecule: ribosomal RNA, 117 nt
Filed under: Oscillospiraceae bacterium
Lineage: Bacteria; Bacillati; Bacillota; Clostridia; Eubacteriales; Oscillospiraceae
Source: RNAcentral
AUCGGUGUUAAUAGCAAAGAGGUUCCACCUGUUCCCAUUCCGAACACAGAAGUUAAGCUCUUUCACGUCGAAAAUACUUGGCUGGCGACGGCCCGGGAAGAUAGAUAGGUGCCGGCA